RNAcentral lists this unclassified non-coding RNA (508 nucleotides) under Hevea brasiliensis (rubber tree). Lineage: Eukaryota; Viridiplantae; Streptophyta; Magnoliopsida; Malpighiales; Euphorbiaceae. The record is from RNAcentral.
GUCGAUAUCCUCGAUUACUGUUGGCGUCAUAUACAAUCUGAAGAUUUCCGUAAAUCGCCAGUCAAGCAUAUGACUGAACUACCCAAUUCCCCCUCCUUUACUAAUCAGGAUUUGCCGGAAUUUGUCACUAUAUACGAAGAUUCUGACCCCCAAUGGCAAACUAUAAGAUCCGACUGGUUUGAAACUAGGACCUGUUGGGCUGGUGUUUUCAAUACCUUCGAGGCGUUGGAGCACGAUUAUUUGGACUAUUUCAGGAAGUUAAACAACGGCGGAAGUGUAUUUGGAGUCGGACCGCUAAGCCUCAUCCAUAGCCACAGCCCACCUGCGGAUUCGAGUUCAGAUGAGAUACUGAAAUGGCUCGACGGAUGCCCUGAUGACUCGGUGCUAUACGUUAGCUUUGGGAGUCAAAAGCAGCUAAAUCAACAGCAAAUGGAAGCACUAGCAUCGGGGCUUGAGAAAAGCGGGAUUCGCUUCGUGUGGGUGGUAAAGACAAUUCAUCAAACAGUCG